GACGAACGCUGGCGGCGUGCUUAACACAUGCAAGUCGAACGGAAAGGCCCUGCUUGCAGGGUACUCGAGUGGCGAACGGGUGAGUAACACGUGGGUGAUCUGCCCUGCACUUCGGGAUAAGCCUGGUAAACUGGGUCUAAUACCGGAUAUGACCUUCCAUGUAGUGUGGGGGGUGGAAAGAUUUAUCGGUGUGGGAUGAGCCCGCGGCCUAUCAGCUUGUUGGUGGGGUAAUGGCCUACCAAGGCGUCGACGGGUAGCCGGCCUGAGAGGGUGGACGGCCACAUUGGGACUGCGAUACGGCCCAGACUCCUACGGGAGGCAGCAGUGGGGAAUAUUGCACAAUGGGCGGAAGCCUGAUGCAGCGACGCCGCGUGGGGGAUGACGGCCUUCGGGUUGUAAACCUCUUUCGACAGGGACGAAGCUUCGGUGACGGUACCUGUAGAAGAAGCACCGGCCAACUACGUG
This 465-nucleotide ribosomal RNA is filed under the name uncultured bacterium. RNAcentral's name for it is "partial 16S ribosomal RNA". It matches the Rfam family "Bacterial small subunit ribosomal RNA", at positions 28 to 507 of the family's 1533-position model. The record is from RNAcentral.